GGAGAGGCCCUUGCAACGGCCCUUAUGUGCCCCCACAGCCAUGUUAGGAACAGAAGGAGAACCUCGUCCUAACAUGAGCAAGAUCGAAGGCCCAAUUAUUUUAAGACUGGAUGGGGGGAGAGGCCCUUGCAACGGCCCUUAUGUGCCUCCACAGUCCUGUUAGGAACAGGAAGAGAACCUCGUCCUAACAUGAGCAAAGUCGAAGGCCC
RNAcentral lists this long non-coding RNA (209 nucleotides) under Elaeis guineensis (African oil palm). Its description in RNAcentral is "long non-coding RNA (EGUI_LNC079486)". The record is from RNAcentral. Lineage: Eukaryota; Viridiplantae; Streptophyta; Magnoliopsida; Arecales; Arecaceae.